RNAcentral lists this long non-coding RNA (1761 nucleotides) under Drosophila guanche. Lineage: Eukaryota; Metazoa; Arthropoda; Insecta; Diptera; Drosophilidae. The record is from RNAcentral.
CUAAAGUCAAGAGGUAUAAUGGAAUUGAAGACUAAGUUUAAUGUGCUCUUAAUAUUUCAAUUAACCAUUUUAACUUGAAGAAGAUUCCUGAAAACGGAUAUUUUAUGCGAAAAUCGUAUCUUUUAGAGGUUGGUCGAAGAUGGUCGAAGGCAAGGUCUUCAAUAUCCUCAAAAGUUAUGAAAACAAUUUUAUAUCGCUCUGUAAGUGUUAUGACAGUUAGCGUACGACUGACUAUAUAUUAUUUAAUUGCAAGAAGUCCCAGAAAGCUAGGCGUUUGGUACUGAAUAUAUAGGGGUGUAUGGCUAAGGACCUUAUUGAUUUAUUCCAGGCGGGAGCAAGGAAGUAAUUAAAUCAAAAUUGAUAAAAAAGUAAAUAUUAAACCUCAAGAAACAUGUAGAGCAUUAAAGAUGGGUAGUUUUUUGUUCGAUUUUCAAAGAUUUCACUACUAUUUCAUUGAACAGCACUUUUCAUUGGUAUUUUUGUAAAGUCAUGUAAAACAUGAAGAUGGAAUGCAAAUGUUCCAGAAUCAGGUUUCUAGUGUGUACAUUUCAAGCUUUCUAAAAAGGUAUCACUUGUUUAAUUUGGAUGAUUGAAAAUGUCUUAAAAAUAGUUUUGAAAGUGGUGAGGUGCGGCACUGCUAGUUCAUUGCACACAGAUGUACAUCUACAACACUUCUCACGCCAACACGCUCCGUUAGCGCGCCCCCCUUCCCUAGACCCACACACUAACGGCAGAGGCAGCGCCCGCUCACAAAAAAAAAAACAAAUAUAAAAAAGGUUAAAAAUCGGCAGAGCGACGGCAGAGGCAGAGGUCUCAUAAUGCAGAAGCAGAGUGCGAAUAAAAGAAUGUGCAAAAAACAAAUAUAAGCUACGGAACGGGGUGGGUUUAGCCCAUGGAAAUUAAUUUCCGUUAUGGCUAUAAUAAUGAUCCAACCGGAUCCCCAUUUGGUGAUCUGAUAGAUAUGGGCAUUCCCUACGGAAUGGCCUUUUUAGUUUUCAUGUAUCUUCAAAAUUGUAGAUUUGGGAGGUUUUCGCCUAUUUGCGGGGAGGAAGGGGGCGUGGCUCAUUUUCUUAAAUACCCUUGUAACAGUGUGAGCAUGCAGAAGUCUGGAUGCAAAAUUUGGUGGCUCUAGCUAUUAUAGUCUCUGAGUACUAGGCGCUCAACAAGACGGACAGACAGACGGACAGACAGACAUGGCUCUAUCGUCUCGGCUAUUGAUGCUGAUAAAGAAUAUAUAUACUUUAUGGGGUCGGAAACGUUUCCUUCUGUGCGUUACAUACAACCGUUAUUCGCACAAAUACAAUAUACCCUAUUUAUUCUUCGAGUACCGGGUAUAAUAACCCAAAAAAUCGCUUAUCAGAGCAAUCAUUAUUUUAGCUUACGAGUGACAAGAUUUCGUGUAUUGCUCUCUUCUUCACACGCUCCAGUCACAUCAAUGACACUACACAAUUAUCCAAGUGAACUUUCUGACUGCUGCUUACUUGUAAUUAGAAAUGGUCCAGAAGGCUCACUGAAUAAGCAGCGGAUUACGAUAGCAGAGAAGCAGCAGCAGCAGAAGGAAAAGAGAGCAACGGCAUAAAAGCAUAUUAACGAUAGAAAAGCAGCAACAGCAAAAGUAGAAAAUAGAGAAAAAAGGAGUCAUUCACAAAAGCAAAGUCGCAGAGUCAAUGUCAAAAUCAGCCAGCAGCAUAAAGUAUCCGAAGAGAUAAUUAUAUUGAUCUUUAGAUUAAUCCUUAGGCUAAUCCUCACAUAAAUCCCUAG